UGAGUGUGUGUGUGUGUGUGUGUGUGUGUGUGUGUGUGUGUGUCUAUGUGUGUGUGUGUGUGUGUGUGUGUGUGUCUGUGUGUGUGUCUAUAUGUGUGUGUGUGUGUGUGUGUCUAUGUGUGAGUGUGUGUGCCUAUGUGUGUGUUUCAAUAUGUGUGUGUGUGUGUGUGUGUGUGUGUGUGUGUGCGUUUGUGUGUGUGUGUCUAUGUGUGAGUGAGUGUGUGUCUAUGUGUGUUUGUGUGUGUGUGUGUGUGUGUGUGUGUCUAUGUGUGUGUGUGUGUGUCUAUGUGUGUGUGUGUGUGUGUGUGUGUGUGUGUGUGUGUGUGUGUGUGUGUUUAUGUGUGUGUGUCUGUCUAUGUGUGUGUGUGUGUGUGUGUGUGUGUGUGUGUGUGUGUGUGUGUGUGUGUGUCUGUGUGUGUGUG
Molecule: long non-coding RNA, 422 nt
Filed under: Salmo salar (Atlantic salmon)
Lineage: Eukaryota; Metazoa; Chordata; Actinopteri; Salmoniformes; Salmonidae
Description: lncRNA (ENSSSAG00000095329.1)
Source: RNAcentral